GGGGGCGAUCUGGUAUCGACCGGGUAUCGGAAGUGUGAGGUGGCGUGUCGUGGUUGGUCGGUUGGCCACGUAAAAAGCCGUCCAAAAUUUAACUGCUGAACCGCAGUACUCCCUCGCGGCGUAAGACCCGCGAGCCGUUCCGGCCCCUUCGCCUGAAAGUGGUCGGUUCGGACGCAAGUCAGGCUCGCACGAACUCGAGGGCCGGGGCAACCCGGUCCGCCUCGGCGGCCGUUCGUGCUAAGAGAAUCUGGCCGAUAGUUGUCCCGGAGUCCUGCCCACUGGAACCCGGUAUAGCAAACGCGGCGUAGCCCUCGGGCGUGCGCCGAAAGUAAGUGGGAUACACACGUAGAUGCCGUCACGGAAGUGCUUCGGGACCGGGGUUCGAUUCCCCGCGCCUCCACUG
This 403-nucleotide transfer-messenger RNA is filed under the name Gemmataceae bacterium. It matches the Rfam family "transfer-messenger RNA". From Rfam's summary of the family: Bacterial tmRNA, also known as 10Sa RNA or SsrA, is named for its dual tRNA and mRNA-like properties. The record is from RNAcentral. Lineage: Bacteria; Pseudomonadati; Planctomycetota; Planctomycetia; Gemmatales; Gemmataceae.